This 66-nucleotide transfer RNA is filed under the name uncultured Prevotella sp. It matches the Rfam family "tRNA", at positions 7 to 64 of the family's 71-position model. From Rfam's summary of the family: Transfer RNA (tRNA) molecules are approximately 80 nucleotides in length. Their secondary structure includes four short double-helical elements and three loops (D, anti-codon, and T loops). Further hydrogen bonds mediate the characteristic L-shaped molecular structure. tRNAs have two regions of fundamental functional importance: the anti-codon, which is responsible for specific mRNA codon recognition, and the 3' end, to which the tRNAs corresponding amino acid is attached (by aminoacyl-tRNA synthetases). tRNAs cope with the degeneracy of the genetic code in two manners: having more than one tRNA (with a specific anti-codon) for a particular amino acid; and 'wobble' base-pairing, i.e. permitting non-standard base-pairing at the 3rd anti-codon position. Lineage: Bacteria; Pseudomonadati; Bacteroidota; Bacteroidia; Bacteroidales; Prevotellaceae. The record is from RNAcentral.
GGCGUAGUUCAGUUGGUUAGAGCGUCAGAUUGUGGUUCUGAAUGUCGUGGGUUCGAGUCCCACCCC